CGUUCGCAUAUUUAGAUGAUGUGAUAAUAGUAAGUAGCACGUUUGAUGAGCAUGUUAGUCUUCUUCUUCGCGUGUUAGACAAGCUGCGCCAUGCUAAUCUAACAAUUAAUUUAGAAAAGUGUGAAUU
Molecule: non-coding RNA, 127 nt
Organism: Bombyx mori (domestic silkworm)
Lineage: Eukaryota; Metazoa; Arthropoda; Insecta; Lepidoptera; Bombycidae
Source: RefSeq, marked provisional